Molecule: long non-coding RNA, 724 nt
Organism: Daphnia pulicaria
Lineage: Eukaryota; Metazoa; Arthropoda; Branchiopoda; Diplostraca; Daphniidae
Exons: 6
Source: RefSeq, a predicted model, not a curated record
GUUUGAAGCACACAUAUACUGGAAUACAAAUGUUCUGAGAUAAGGAUCUUUUCUGAAUCUCGCAAUUUUGGUGGUGUACCCUGCAACAGCAUGUUUGUCGCUGUUUUUACUUCUGUUUAGAAGGUCAUCCAGCUAAGAGAUAGAGUUUCAGAGACGUGAAGAGUGUGAAGUGACCUGCCAUGUUUGUACCAGAUCUGCUUGAUGAAAGUCAAAUGCCUUACUAAAUUCAUAUCCCAUAUGAUAAAGCAUCAGGAAAUUUAUCUCAACAUAUGAGUGCUGAACAUGGGUUGCUGUGAAUUCCAUUUUUAUGGUUUUUUCAUCAUGAACGUUGCAGUGUGCUUCUUAGAAAAGAGCACGCAGUUCCUUUAUGGAUAUGUGUGGUCCUGGCACAGAGAUUCUUGUGCCAAUGCUGACCUUUGUCCAUGACGAAGAGGGACUUCCACCAAUGUCUUCUCCAUCCUUAUCUUCGCGACGUCCGCUCAUCUAGCUUCACUGCUUUGUAUAAACUGCUACUCAACUUACAAGUCUUACUUCAUUGACGAGUUGGAUCACUUCAGUGUUCGCUUCCGCCCGCUGUGACACACCUGUAAUCAUUCAUCGCGGGAUUAUGCCCAGGUAAUGCAGAGGAAACGUCGAGAAGGUGGACACCAAAACGUCGCCGGUAUCUCCAAAAUGUCGGCUCAGAUAAUCAUUUGUUGUUGGUAAUAUGUUUGUGAGUGUUAGU